Molecule: ribosomal RNA, 1361 nt
Filed under: Faucicola osloensis
Lineage: Bacteria; Pseudomonadati; Pseudomonadota; Gammaproteobacteria; Moraxellales; Moraxellaceae
Description: bacterial SSU rRNA
Rfam family: Bacterial small subunit ribosomal RNA
Source: RNAcentral
UUGCUAGAGAAGAUUAGUGGCGGACGGGUGAGUAACAUUUAGGAAUCUGCCUAGUAGUGGGGGAUAGCUCGGGGAAACUCGAAUUAAUACCGCAUACGACCUACGGGUGAAAGGGGGCGCAAGCUCUUGCUAUUAGAUGAGCCUAAAUCAGAUUAGCUAGUUGGUGGGGUAAAGGCCCACCAAGGCGACGAUCUGUAACUGGUCUGAGAGGAUGAUCAGUCACACCGGAACUGAGACACGGUCCGGACUCCUACGGGAGGCAGCAGUGGGGAAUAUUGGACAAUGGGGGCAACCCUGAUCCAGCCAUGCCGCGUGUGUGAAGAAGGCCUUUUGGUUGUAAAGCACUUUAAGCAGGGAGGAGAGGCUAAUGGUUAAUACCCAUUAGAUUAGACGUUACCUGCAGAAUAAGCACCGGCUAACUCUGUGCCAGCAGCCGCGGUAAUACAGAGGGUGCGAGCGUUAAUCGGAAUUACUGGGCGUAAAGCGAGUGUAGGUGGCUCAUUAAGUCACAUGUGAAAUCCCCGGGCUUAACCUGGGAACUGCAUGUGAUACUGGUGGUGCUAGAAUAUGUGAGAGGGAAGUAGAAUUCCAGGUGUAGCGGUGAAAUGCGUAGAGAUCUGGAGGAAUACCGAUGGCGAAGGCAGCUUCCUGGCAUAAUAUUGACACUGAGAUUCGAAAGCGUGGGUAGCAAACAGGAUUAGAUACCCUGGUAGUCCACGCCGUAAACGAUGUCUACUAGCCGUUGGGGUCCUUGAGACUUUAGUGGCGCAGUUAACGCGAUAAGUAGACCGCCUGGGGAGUACGGCCGCAAGGUUAAAACUCAAAUGAAUUGACGGGGGCCCGCACAAGCGGUGGAGCAUGUGGUUUAAUUCGAUGCAACGCGAAGAACCUUACCUGGUCUUGACAUAGUGAGAAUCCUGCAGAGAUGCGGGAGUGCCUUCGGGAAUUCACAUACAGGUGCUGCAUGGCUGUCGUCAGCUCGUGUCGUGAGAUGUUGGGUUAAGUCCCGCAACGAGCGCAACCCUUUUCCUUAUUUGCCAGCGGGUUAAGCCGGGAACUUUAAGGAUACUGCCAGUGACAAACUGGAGGAAGGCGGGGACGACGUCAAGUCAUCAUGGCCCUUACGACCAGGGCUACACACGUGCUACAAUGGUAGGUACAGAGGGUUGCUACACAGCGAUGUGAUGCUAAUCUCAAAAAGCCUAUCGUAGUCCGGAUUGGAGUCUGCAACUCGACUCCAUGAAGUCGGAAUCGCUAGUAAUCGCAGAUCAGAAUGCUGCGGUGAAUACGUUCUCCGGGCCUUGUACACACCGCCCGUCACACCAUGGGAGUCUAUUGCACCAGAAGUAUGGUAGCCUAAC